This 460-nucleotide ribosomal RNA is filed under the name uncultured bacterium. RNAcentral's name for it is "partial 16S ribosomal RNA". It matches the Rfam family "Bacterial small subunit ribosomal RNA", at positions 338 to 795 of the family's 1533-position model. The record is from RNAcentral.
CCUACGGGAGGCAGCAGUGAGGAAUAUUGGUCAAUGGCCGGAAGGCUGAACCAGCCAUGCCGCGUGAAGGUCAGUGCCCUAUGGGCGUUAAACUUCUUUUGUGCGGGAGCAAUACUGGUCACGUGUGGCCAGACGAGAGUACCGUACGAAUAAGCAUCGGCUAACUCCGUGCCAGCAGCCGCGGUAAUACGGGGGAUGCACGCGUUAUCCGGAUUUAUUGGGUUUAAAGGGUGCGUAGGCUGUGAGGUAAGUCAGCGGGGAAAUGCCCCCGCUCAACGGGGUGAAGUGCCAUUGAUACUGCCUUGCUGGAAUGCGGAUGCCGUGGGAGGAAGGUGUGGUGUAGCGGUGAAAUGCAUAGAUAUCACACAGAACACCGAUUGCGAAGGCAUCUCACGAAUCCGCGAUUGACGCUGAUGCACGAAAGCGUGGGUAUCAAACAGGAUUAGAUACCCCUGUAGUC